This 1322-nucleotide ribosomal RNA is filed under the name Marenzelleria neglecta. RNAcentral's name for it is "large subunit ribosomal RNA". The stretch from base 834 to 1194 matches the Rfam family "Bacterial large subunit ribosomal RNA", at positions 2073 to 2647 of the family's 2925-position model. Lineage: Eukaryota; Metazoa; Annelida; Polychaeta; Spionida; Spionidae. The record is from RNAcentral.
GUCAAAAAAUUCUUCAUAAUAUUAUCAAUCAAACCAUUAUCAAUUAAUACAUUUGUCCUAAUAACCCAUACACUUAGUACCGCAAGGGAACAAAAACUUCUACCUAGUAAAGUAAACUCUUUUACCUUUUGUAUUAUGGUUUAACAACCUCCCACUAUUAUAUACCUUUUCCCGAAGUUUAAGAGAGCUGCUUAUCUCCUGCUACGCGCCAAAUUUUUUAUAUUAAAAUAUGAUAAUCAGAGAGAUAGGCAGAGGCUACAUACCUUUCGCGCUAAACCAUGGCUGGAUUUUCAUUAAACUUAUCAAAGUAAGACAAACAGCUCUGCUGUUAUGUUAAAUAUAAGAGGAUAAGCUCUUAUCUAAAAUCAAUAAACAAUUAACCUAACAUCAUUUUUAUAGGCUUAGAAUCAGCCAAUAACCAUAACGUUCUAGUUACAAUACCAAAAUAAAACUAUCCCUUACCCUUUAUGAAAGAAAAAGUGAAAACCUUUGAGAACUCCAAACUCAUUUUCUAUUCUGUUAAAAUUAGUAUUAAAACAAUUAAUAGGCUAUCACAAGAUAUCCUUUAAUAAACCAAAACAAAACAUAUAAAAAUAAAGAACUCGGCAAACCAAAACUCCGGCUGUUUACCAAAAACAUCGCCUUUAGUCUUUCUAUUAAAGGUCCAUUCUGCCCUAUGAAACUAUUUAAAUGGCCGCGGUACCCUGACCGUGCAAAGGUAGCAUAAUAAUUUGCCUCUUAAUUAGAGGCUGGAAUGAAUGAAUAUACGAGAGUUUAGCUGUUUCAUUUUUACUUCUAAAAAUUAUCCUUUAAGUGAAGAGACUUAAAUAAAAUAAAAAGACAAAAAGACCCUAUUGAGCUUUAUUUCAUAAGUUAAACUUCUAUAGCCUAUGCAAAAGAACCUUACCUAUAGAAAUUUUGUUGGGGCGACAAGAGAAGACCUAAAUCUUCUCUAUACUACAAGAAUAUUCCUCUACUAAUGAUCCGUAAUAAACGAUUAACAGAACCAGCUACCAUAGGGAUAACAGGCUAAUCUUCUUUGAGAGCCCAAAUUGACAAGAAGGAUUGGCACCUCGAUGUUGGCUUAGGAUACCUGAUAGAUGCAGAAGUCUUUCAAGUGGGUUUGUUCAACCUUUAAUAUCCUACAUGAGCUGAGUUCAGACCGGCGUAAGCCAGGUUAGUUUCUAUCUUUUACUAAAAAACUACUAAUAGUACGAAAGGACCUUAGCUAGUCAAAUAAUUUGCUUAAACGAAACCAUAUAAUAAAUCCUUAAUAUUAUAAAUCUAAUAUGUUGGCAGACUAGUGCACUUGAUUUAGGCUC